AGCUUUGUGCAGUGGCAGUAUCAUAGCCAAUGAGGUUUAUCCGAGACGCAAUUAUUGCUAAUUGAAAACUCUUCCCAAUACCCCGCGGCGACGACUUGGAAUAUAGUUGGCACUGUCAUUUUUCUCUACGGAGA
Molecule: small nuclear RNA, 134 nt
Organism: Aotus nancymaae (Ma's night monkey)
Lineage: Eukaryota; Metazoa; Chordata; Mammalia; Primates; Aotidae
Gene: U4
Rfam family: U4 spliceosomal RNA
About the family: U4 small nuclear RNA (U4 snRNA) is a component of the major U2-dependent spliceosome.
Source: Ensembl